RNAcentral lists this ribosomal RNA (836 nucleotides) under uncultured Achromobacter sp. RNAcentral's name for it is "bacterial SSU rRNA". It matches the Rfam family "Bacterial small subunit ribosomal RNA", at positions 30 to 862 of the family's 1533-position model. The record is from RNAcentral. Lineage: Bacteria; Pseudomonadati; Pseudomonadota; Betaproteobacteria; Burkholderiales; Alcaligenaceae.
UGAACGCUAGCGGGAUGCCUUACACAUGCAAGUCGAACGGCAGCACGGACUUCGGUCUGGUGGCGAGUGGCGAACGGGUGAGUAAUGUAUCGGAACGUGCCCAGUAGCGGGGGAUAACUACGCGAAAGCGUAGCUAAUACCGCAUACGCCCUACGGGGGAAAGCAGGGGAUCGCAAGACCUUGCACUAUUGGAGCGGCCGAUAUCGGAUUAGCUAGUUGGUGGGGUAACGGCUCACCAAGGCGACGAUCCGUAGCUGGUUUGAGAGGACGACCAGCCACACUGGGACUGAGACACGGCCCAGACUCCUACGGGAGGCAGCAGUGGGGAAUUUUGGACAAUGGGGGAAACCCUGAUCCAGCCAUCCCGCGUGUGCGAUGAAGGCCUUCGGGUUGUAAAGCACUUUUGGCAGGAAAGAAACGUCAUGGGCUAAUACCCCGUGAAACUGACGGUACCUGCAGAAUAAGCACCGGCUAACUACGUGCCAGCAGCCGCGGUAAUACGUAGGGUGCAAGCGUUAAUCGGAAUUACUGGGCGUAAAGCGUGCGCAGGCGGUUCGGAAAGAAAGAUGUGAAAUCCCAGAGCUUAACUUUGGAACUGCAUUUUUAACUACCGGGCUAGAGUGUGUCAGAGGGAGGUGGAAUUCCGCGUGUAGCAGUGAAAUGCGUAGAUAUGCGGAGGAACACCGAUGGCGAAGGCAGCCUCCUGGGAUAACACUGACGCUCAUGCACGAAAGCGUGGGGAGCAAACAGGAUUAGAUANCCUGGUAGUCCACGCCCUAAACGAUGUCAACUAGCUGUUGGGGCCUUCGGGCCUUGGUAGCGCAGCUAACGCGUGA